Pseudopipra pipra is the source of this 766-nucleotide long non-coding RNA. RefSeq lists it as uncharacterized. The transcript has 2 exons. NCBI's taxonomy places the organism in Eukaryota, Metazoa, Chordata, Aves, Passeriformes, Pipridae. The record is from RefSeq and is a predicted model, not a curated record.
AGCGGGGGUGGGCACUGGGGAGCGGGGGUCUCCCCGCCACGCAUCCCGUUCGGAAACCCCGCGGGGGCUCUCCGGCGGGGGCAGGUGAGGGGCGGGACAGGGCACGGCGGCCCUACGGGCUCGGCCCCCGAUCCCGGUCCGUUGUCAGGUCGAGCAGGAUCACGGUCCUGCCCGACCAGAGGAGUCGUCCCUCCGGCCCCCAUCCCGCCCAGCGCAAGGGGCAGGGGCACGGGACGGACCCUCACCCUGCAAGUGCUCUGUGUUUUAGUUGCUCUGCCCGCAGCCUCUGAAUAAAGUUUUUUUUUCCAGCAAACUCUCAGCCCAACCUGGCACCUGCUUGUCGUGCCUUCGGUGCCGGUGUGCCUCCCCUUGUCUUGACAGCUGGAGUAAUUCUCCAUGCCUUCCGCAAGUGCGUGGCAGCCUCGGGAGCAUGCAGUGAGAAACGUUAAGAAUGCCCGCUAAGGAAGAAAUCCCAAAAAAGGGAGGAAAGCUGGUGUAAUAGGCCCUGUGCAUUGCUGUUGCCUCGACAGAAAAUCAUUACUCAGUAACAGAUGAGCCAGUUCGGAAGAAGUGCCACUGGGAUACUGCACACUUUCAUUCAUAGAUGCUAUGUAUUAGAGGAAGUAGCAGGAGGCCUGCCAACUUUCCCAAUUUAAUUAUUAAACUGUCAGUUCCUGACUCCUUGUUUCAACUUCCUGAGGCAACAUCUGGCUGUAAUAACAAAAAUAAAUAAAUAAAAUAAAAUUUGAUCAUUCACUCAGCAGCA